UGAGCGAGGAGUCGAUGGAGGAGGACACGUCGGAGCACCUGAAGUCGACGGACACGAGCGGCUCGUCGCAGACCUGCAGCACGCCCUUGAGCGGGCCGGCGGCGGCCUUGCGGAACGCCGCGUUAACGUCGUCGGCCGUCAUGCCCUUCUUCUCCGUGUUGAUCACCAGGUCCACCACGGACACGUUCGGGGUCGGCACGCGGAGCGCGAUGCCGUUCAGCUUGCCCUUCAGCUGGGGAAGCACCAGGGCAACGGCCUUGGCAGCGCCGGUGCUCGUCGGCACGAUGUUCAGGGCCGCCGCACGGGCCCUCCUCAGGUCGCGGUGGGACGCGUCCAGCAGCCGCUGGUCGCCGGUGUAUGAGUGUGUCGUCGUCAUGGUUCCCUUCACAAUCCCUGCACAUCAUCGCGAAAACAUUCGUCAGAUGAGUGUGUACAGUGUCUGACUCGUGGGGCGCACUUAUCAGACUGUGUGGUCAGGAACAGGAAAUAAGCAAAAAAGUUCUCACCGAACUCUUCGUCCAAGACCUUGACGAAUGGGGCGAGGCAGUUGGUCGUGCAGGAAGCAUUGCUGCAAGCAACAGAGUUUUGAUGCAGAUGAAUGUUAAGGAUGAUACAGGGUCCCCUGAAUGACAUAGCGUAUGUGCCGGCACCGGCAGGAAUCAGGAUGCAGAGCAGCGCUGAAGCGCACACUGAAGCUUGAUUACCUGAUAAUGUCGGCCACGCCGUGGUCGUAGUCGCCCUCGUUGACACCGACGACAUAGGUCGGGAUGUCGGCGCCCUUCGCCGGAGCAGUGAUGAUGACCUUCUUCGCGCCGGCCUGGAUGUGCUUCCCGGCGCCGGGGCCGUCGACGAACACUCCGGUACCCUUCACGACGCAGUUCCGCACCGU
RNAcentral lists this long non-coding RNA (889 nucleotides) under Setaria italica (foxtail millet). RNAcentral's name for it is "long non-coding RNA (SITA_LNC007409)". Lineage: Eukaryota; Viridiplantae; Streptophyta; Magnoliopsida; Poales; Poaceae. The record is from RNAcentral.